CGCUUUACAACGGCGCGCUCCUCUUUUUUUUUAUUGUCCUGUGCGAGGGUCCAUGCGGCGGCGACUCUUCGCAUUUGUGCGUGUCCGCGGCACCGCGGCGGUAGCGACGCCAACCGUCGGCGUGGUGGCAGCACUGCAACGCCGCGGUGCUGCGUCCAAGGUGACGUCAACGACUCUGGGCAGCCCUGCAAAAUCAUCGCAUCACACAACGUCGUCGACGGCGCCGCGCACGAUCAUCGCGAACGCCGCAGCGCAGUUCAGCGGCACCUACCUAGACGUCGCCUGGACGCGGCAGUUCAUCCUCGGCUCUCUGCUACAGCGCUAUGACCCUCUGCGAUACGCACCGUCAUCACCAUCCUCCCCAUCCUCGAUCACCGCUCGGUUGGUGGAGUCGGCCUUGUUGGAGUCGCAGAGACUCCUUAGCUCAACUUGGAAGCUGCCCGUGCGGCCCCUCGACGCAGUGAGUGAGACACGCAUCCUUCGGCUAUUGGCCCGCUACGCCGCUGGCGAGGGCAUCCUCUCCGACACGGCUCUAGAGAUGCUGCAGCGCGUCUUGGCACGCCUCCCUGGUGCCCCGGCGUGCAUCUCCGACCCUGUGCAUAUGCGCACCCUGCUGGAACUCAUCGGGUAUGUUGAGCCUGGCGACAACCUCAGCCGGGUCGCGUACGCUGGGGAGCUGCGCUACCCCCCACAGGCGCACGCCUUCAUGACGGAGCUGCUGGCGGAGGUCCGACAGCGCGACGGCGGCGACGCCUUCGACGCCAUACGCGAGCGCCGGACGGGGCCGGGGUACGCCAUCGACUCCGCCACGACGAGCGAGGUCGACGAUGCCAUCGGUGUCUCCGUGGAUGGGGCAACGGGUGCAAAGUACUUUGUCGUGUACGUCUCUGAUGCAACCGUCUACUGCCCCUUCGACAGCACCCUUGAGCAGUUGACGGCGCGGCGGCUGACGACAACCACCUACCUGCCGGAGGGCGUCUUCUUCAUGCUCCCAAAGCCCAUCGUCGAGGCGGCCACGUUGCGCGAGGACCGACCGUGUCGCACGUUCAACGUCAUCUUCCAAAUCGAUGAGUCCACCGGCGAGGUGAAGAACUACUCCGUCGCCGUGGGAUGGCUGGACCAGCUGCGGCGCAUCACGUACGAUCAGGUGCAGGAAAUCAUCAACGAGGAGGAAGGCAGGGAGGAUGGCGAUGAACACGACAGCACCGCCGUUGUGGCGGCUGCGCACGACAAACACACAUCGUCCUCGCCGCCUCUCUUGGCUGAGUGCGCCGGGAGCGCGCAUCCCCCACCGGCGUGGAUGACGCGUGAAGACAAGGACAACCUCUUUUACAUUCUUCGCUGUGCCCGUCUUCGGCUGCGCGCUCGACUGGAGAGGCAGCAGCGACAGCGACAGCAACAUCACCGCGGGGCCGGGGGCAAGGACUGCGGAGACGAGGGGGUGCCGGCGACGCCGCCAGUGGACUUCAGCCUACCCGACCCCCUCAUCGAAGUCAAGGGCACCGAGGUGCUCUCCGUCACGGAUCAGGUCAUCUCCACCCAAGACGCCCGCCUUGCCGUGGCGGAGCUGAUGAUCGCCGCGAACGAGGUGUGUUCACGCGUUGCACAGGCCAACCACAUCGCAAUGCCGUUCCGCGGCACUCGCGCUCUUUCCAGCGAUCAUCUCGUGGCGCAUUACUACACAGAGCCUGAAGGUGUGCGCACGCUGACGUCACUCGACGCCUCGCACAUCUUCCUGGCCGAAGCCAUGCAGUCCUCCGUGCGUCGCCUCAGCACCGUGACACGCGCCAUCUACCAUCACGUCCCUCUGCACCAUGCCGGGCUCGACACGACCUUCUACACCCACAGCACAAGUCCGCUGCGUCGGUAUGCCGACAUGCUCGUGCACCAUCAGCUCAAGACGUGGCUCUGGCAGCAGCGCCGCGGUGGCGGCAGUAGUGACCACACCAGUGCGGCCUCCACCUCUGCCGCGCGUGCUGCCAUGGUGGCCGCGCCUCAGCAGCUCAUUCCCGAGCAUGCCAUGGCUUCUCUGUGCGCCAUGAUCAGCGCGAAGCAGGAGCGCGCCAGUCUCCUGCAGGACAACAGCACGCGUUUUUGGAUUUUGCGGUACCUCGAGGACUUGGAGCGUGCCUCGGCCAACGCCGCCGCCGCUGCUCGUGGUGGUAGUGAUGGUGACGCGCAUCACAAGAAAACCUACCUGUGCUUGGUUGGUGAGACACGCCGCGUGGUGGCUGCGCCGGCGUACAGCCGCUUCGCGUGCUCCUCGGCGGAGAUGUCACAGCUACUGUCCCUACCGCUGACAGCGCCGUCCACCACCUCGAGCACAGUGCGGCGCCCCGCAUCGCUGCAGAUGGAUGCCGUUGCGCGUUGGCGGCAGGAGACCCCCGAGUUCACCUACGUCUCGGACGUGUACAUCCCGGAGGUGCAGCUGGCGCACACUAUCACUCACCACCGCGACGACGUCCUUGUCGGGGCUGUGCUGGAAUGCCACAUCACUCGCGUGCAACCUACGCAAGGGGUGUUGGAGUUGGCCAUCGAACGCGUCUUACCUGGCGGCGAUGAGCGGCACUACGAGCGCCUCUGGAUGGGUGGGUUUGUGUCCCAGCUGGAUGCGUGAUGGACCGUCUUCGGGCCUCUUCUCUACGUCAUCGCCAACCCUAACAUCUUUUCUUCUCUGGCUGCUAGUCCCUCUCUCCUCCCCCACUGUUGCAGUCGUUGCUGCGGCUUCCUUUCCCGGCUCUGUAUGUGCCUUGUGUGUGCACGUAUGCACAUGUGCGUGUAUGUGAGUGUAACCGAGCAUACAGGGGUAUAGGCCAUGAUACGAGACGAGAGAGGGAGAGAGCAGUCCCGCGGCCAGUGCCGCUGCUGCGUGGUGGGGCAUCUCGCAAACACGAAGGGAACGAGAUGGUUCGACGUAGCGUGAGCGACUCGUCACACACACACACACACAUAAGCAUGAGAGUAAAAUGAGGGCAACGAAAAAUGUGCUCUGCGCGGCGCCUCUCCAGCGCAUCCCACGCACGCACACAUACACGAGCGCGCGCGCAGGAUCCUCUCCCCACGUCUGCCAACACCACCCUCCUCCCUCGCUUCCUCUCUGCAUGCCUUUUACAUGCAACCACAUUUCACCAACCGUCUGUCCUGUGCAUGCAUGUAUACAUGCAUGUAUCGAUGCCUUGGUGGUUUGCUGCUUCCACCGCCGCCGCCGCCGUAG
RNAcentral lists this unclassified non-coding RNA (3214 nucleotides) under Leishmania donovani. RNAcentral's name for it is "gene:LdHU3.04.0390(CDS-product:mitochondrial_exor ibonuclease_DSS-1_putative)". Lineage: Eukaryota; Euglenozoa; Kinetoplastea; Trypanosomatida; Trypanosomatidae. The record is from RNAcentral.